Molecule: long non-coding RNA, 578 nt
Organism: Girardinichthys multiradiatus
Lineage: Eukaryota; Metazoa; Chordata; Actinopteri; Cyprinodontiformes; Goodeidae
Exons: 3
Source: RefSeq, a predicted model, not a curated record
AAAAUAAAUGUGUUUAAAGUGAGAUGCUCACAUUUGUCUUACAAAAGUAUUUGUCAGAAAUCAAACAGAAAAAUAAAACCCUGACACUGUGGCUCCAACCUGCAUCAGAAUGCAAAACAAGAACGCUGACUCUUCUUUUUACGGAUAUUCCACAAAUGUUGCAUGGACAGAGACAAAUGGUCCCAUGUUAAACGCAUCAGCAAGUUUAUAUCAUUUGAAAGCUGAACAUCAUGUUCAUGAAGAUUAAAAUCCAGAUGUCAUCUCAUUACUUUACGCUGCGACAGCCCUGAGCUCAGCAUCUCCUCCAUACAACUCUGCUGCCUAUAAAUACUGAUGAGGACACCUUCAACAUUCAUCAGCUGGCUGACUGACUGAACAGAGAGAUCCAGGAUGAUCAUGAAGAUCCUCGCUGUCUUCGUCCUCGUCUUUCUCACAGGUUGUAAUGGUGGACACCAUGAACACCCAUCCAAAUUCCAGGUAGAAAUGGUGCAGGAUGCUUACUGGAGAUAUGUUCAGAAAUCCACCAGUACUCCCUGGGAGUAUGUAGAGGACAUCAGGGAUUCCCCUCCAGGACAGUA